ACCGGUGCCAGCCGCCGCGGUAAUACCGGCGGCUCGAGUGGUGGCCACUAUUACUGGGCUUAAAGCGUUCGUAGCUGGUCUGUUAAGUCUCUGGGGAAAUCUACUGGCUUAACCAAUAGGCGUCUCAGGGAUACUGGCAGACUAGGGACCGGGAGAGGUGAGAGGUACUCCAGGGGUAGGAGUGAAAUCCUGUAAUCCUUGGGGGACCACCUGUGGCGAAGGCGUCUCACCAGAACGGCUCCGACAGUGAGGGACGAAAGCUGGGGGAGCAAACCGGAUUAGAUACCCGGGUAGUCCCAGCUGUAAACGAUGCGCGUUAGGUGUAUCGAUGACCACGAGUCAUCGAGGUGCCGAAGAGAAAUCGUGAAACGUGCCGCCUGGGAAGUACGGUCGCAAGGCUGAAACUUAAAGGAAUUGGCGGGGGAGCACCACAACAGGUGGAGCCUGCGGUUUAAUCGGACUCAACGCCGGAAAUCUCACCGGAUAAGACAGCUGUAUGAUAGUCGGGCUGAAGACUCUACUUGACUAGCUGAGAGGAGGUGCAUGGCCGUCGUCAGUUCG
RNAcentral lists this ribosomal RNA (561 nucleotides) under uncultured Methanomicrobiaceae archaeon. RNAcentral's name for it is "bacterial SSU rRNA". It matches the Rfam family "Archaeal small subunit ribosomal RNA", at positions 451 to 1011 of the family's 1478-position model. Lineage: Archaea; Methanobacteriati; Methanobacteriota; Methanomicrobia; Methanomicrobiales; Methanomicrobiaceae. The record is from RNAcentral.